AUGGCUCAGGACGAACGCUGGCGGCGUGCCUAAUCCAUGCAAGUAGAACGCUGAAGGAGGAGCUUACUUCUCUGGAUGAGUUGCGAACGGGUGAGUAACGCGUAGGUAACCUGCCUGGUAGCGGGGGAUAACGAUUGGAAACGAUAGCUAAUACCGCAUAAGAGUAGAUGUUGCAUGACAUUUACUUAAAAGGUGCAAUUGCACCACUACCAGAUGGACCUGUGUUGUAUUAGCUAGUUGGUGGGGUAACGGCUUACCAAGGCUACGAUACAUAGCCGACCUGAGAGGGUGAUCGGCCACACUGGGACUGAGACACGGCCCAGACUCCUACGG
This 333-nucleotide ribosomal RNA is filed under the name uncultured bacterium. Its description in RNAcentral is "bacterial SSU rRNA". It matches the Rfam family "Bacterial small subunit ribosomal RNA", at positions 19 to 344 of the family's 1533-position model. The record is from RNAcentral.